AUCCUCAAGAAGAAGACUAGUACAUAUAACACGAGGCGAAACGCAGAGAAGUCCUUUCCGUGCUGAAGCAGCAAAGAAUGUGCGCGUGUUGAAGGGGGAAAAAAACGGCUGUUUGCUGGUGUUUUCCGAGGACUUCACACAUUUAUGAUUCCGUUGACGGAGAUUUGGACCGCUUUGUCCUUAAACCUCAUAUUCAGACUUGUUUUCUUUGAACCGCUGUAUCUGUCCUUGAAUUUCAUGUUUGUAUGUUGAGUGCAUUAUUGUAACAUGUCCCAUUAAA
Sinocyclocheilus grahami is the source of this 280-nucleotide long non-coding RNA. RefSeq lists it as uncharacterized. The transcript has 3 exons. Lineage: Eukaryota; Metazoa; Chordata; Actinopteri; Cypriniformes; Cyprinidae. The record is from RefSeq and is a predicted model, not a curated record.